Juglans microcarpa x Juglans regia is the source of this 640-nucleotide long non-coding RNA. RefSeq lists it as uncharacterized. The transcript is spliced from 3 exons. The record is from RefSeq and is a predicted model, not a curated record. NCBI's taxonomy places the organism in Eukaryota, Viridiplantae, Streptophyta, Magnoliopsida, Fagales, Juglandaceae.
UCCUUGAUGAGGGAUUAGUACAUGACUCUCUAGACUUUGAUCAAUAUUUUCUAGAGGGGUAUUGUAAAGCAUCACCUUCGUGUGACUCCCAUGAUUCAGCUGAAGUUGUCACUGAUGUGGACAGCAACAGUAGUCCCUGUGAUGGGAGAAAUCUGAGGAAAUUGGUGACAAUGAUGACAUGCUUGGUGGUGUAUUUGCCUUCUCAGAGGAAGGUUGAUGUGAACCUUCUGGUGUCUGAUGCCACCUUCUCUUGCUUUCAGAAUGUUUAUGUAAUGAUUGGUCAAAGCUCAGCCUAAUGCAGGAUGAGAUUCUAAUGGACAAAAUGCAGUUUAUUUCCUUCCAACGAUUGAAUAGCUACCAACUAAUUGAUACAAGUGGGAUGGCAUGGCGGGAAGUUUACUAUUCUUGAGCUUCUUGUCAAUAAAAUGAUACUUCUACCCUGGUCCAAGCUAAAAGAAAUGAUACUCUUACCCUGGGAAGGUAAGGCCUUUUGAAGCAGACAUACUCUUCAAAUUUGGGGAAAAAAUCAUGCAUAUAAAUGGUAUGUUUACACAUUUGCUAGUAAAUAGCAGAACUCAAAAAGAUAUUACCAAUGUUAGUACAGUUAAAUGGUAAUUAUUUCCCUCGUGGGGAUUUUGGG